UACAGAGGGUGCAAGCGUUGUUCGGAAUUAUUGGGCGUAAAGGGCGCGUAGGCGGUCACGCACGUCCGUUGUGAAAUCGCUCGGCUCAACUGGGCGGGGUCAGCGGAUACGGCGUGGCUGGAGCAAGCUAGGGGGCAAUGGAAUUCCCGGUGUAGAGGUGAAAUUCGUAGAUAUUCGGAAGAACACCAGUGGCGAAGGCGGCUCACUGGCCCGGUACUGACGCUGAUGUGCGAAAGCGUGGGGAGCAAACAGG
RNAcentral lists this ribosomal RNA (253 nucleotides) under uncultured bacterium. Its description in RNAcentral is "partial 16S ribosomal RNA". It matches the Rfam family "Bacterial small subunit ribosomal RNA", at positions 524 to 776 of the family's 1533-position model. The record is from RNAcentral.